RNAcentral lists this transfer RNA (22 nucleotides) under Pseudogobius olorum (Swan River goby). RNAcentral describes it as "partial tRNA-Glu". The record is from RNAcentral. Lineage: Eukaryota; Metazoa; Chordata; Actinopteri; Gobiiformes; Gobiidae.
AUUCAACUACAAGAAACCCUUA